Long non-coding RNA from Cyprinus carpio carpio, 2836 nucleotides. The record is from Ensembl. Lineage: Eukaryota; Metazoa; Chordata; Actinopteri; Cypriniformes; Cyprinidae.
ACUAAACACAACUUUAAAAUGACUUUGAACAUCUUCCCUUUUAGGUUUGUUUCAGUGAGUCUUUUUCCAAACAGAGAUGAUGAAAAUGUUGCCUUAAGAGUAUGACCUAAAUUUCACAUCAAACAAAUAUGCAAAACAACACUGCAAAACUGUCUCCGACAUGCCAGUUUCAAUGUUCCCACAACAGUUAUACUUUGGAAUUUUAUUUUAUUUUAUUUAUUUUUUAACACUCACAGACCUUAAAUAAACCUUUUUAAAGACCUUAAAUUGUUACAUAUAGUCUUUCCCCAGGGUUUAACUCAUGUGGGUCAUUCCUGUUAUGCCCUUUUAUGUCCCUGUCAAAUAUACUGCAUAAAAUAUUCCAGUAGCAUUUUUUUUUUCAAUAUGAAAGUCAUAUAGUUUUCUUGGGAAUAAACAGUUUUUGCUUGCUAGUUUCCAUCCUGUUAGUCUAUAGUAAUCUGUUAACAACAACACUAACAAAAGUAGCAAUAGUUUUCUGAUUUGUCUCCCAUUUUAUUCCAUUUUAUUGCAUGAUUAAAAUAAAACAUGUUUAGAAACCCCACAUGUAAUCUAGCCAUCAAACCCUUACUUAUCUAGAUUAAGCAUCUUAUUCAGACAUCCUAGUUAUUUUCUUAACAAUUUGUAAAGAAUCAAGCAAAAAAAAUAAAUAAAUAAUAAUAAUAAUAAUAAUAAUAAUAAUAAUAAUACUUAUUAAAAACAUCCUAAGCUGUUUGAGUUACAGGAAUUUAAGAGUCUGAACAUAUUUCUGCAAGUCUAGCACAUUUUAUAGAAAUAUUUCUUACAGUACAUUACAACAUAAAUAUUAAUUUUUAACAUACUGCAUAACAGGAAUGAUCCACCUACGUUCAGCUGACCUUUUGAGAGCUAGACAGGAUCCAUUCAAUAUCUUUCCCCUGUGCGAGCAUGUAUUCAUUUGAUACCAUAAAGUGCCUUUCAUUUUUAAAAGCCUGUAAAGCAUUAGCGCUUCAUAUAAACCGCACUGACCAGUGAUCAUUAUGUUCACCAUAAUGCAUUGUACUGCAUACUGAGAAUUUCAUAACCAAAAUGUGAACAUAACACAUAGGUUUGUAAAAAAGAGGACAUUUUUACAUUCACAAAUUAAGGGAAAAAAGAAAAGAAUAUAUAUAUAUAUAUAUAUAUAUAUAUAUAUAUAUAUAUAUAUAUAUAUAUAUAUAUAUAUAUAUACACCCACUGUAACUUCACUCAACCUCCAGCACAUUUUAUUUAACAAAAUAUAAGCAGAUCAGAUGUAGCAAAGCAUAGAAAUGUAACUCUAAGACAAACUGUUGGGAAAAUGCACCAAAUAAUAGAUAAGCCAGAAUGUGGUACAGUCUUUCACAGUGGAGCAACAAAUAAUUACCCUUCCACGCAUGACGAGAGAGAGUGAGAGAGAGAAGGAGAUGCCUUGAUGGACAGCCAGAACAGGUUUAACAGAAAUAAUAGAUCAGAAGGUCACCCUUCAAUUUCGGUCAGUUGGGGGAAGAACGAAUGUUAUUUCUUUUUUUUUUAUGUGUGUAUGUGCAGCAAGAGUCACAACACACAUUUCUCUGAAGGCUCUGAAUCUACAUUAGAGUAAAACCAUUGCAAUAUGACAGGAACCCCAUUGGGACGUUCUGCUGGAUUGCAAUUCAACCGACUUUGUUUUGUGCAACCUAAAUCAAAUUGACAGGUAAGAGAGAAAAGCAUCUUCCGGUGCCAAUAUUUUCCACACUUGUAACAAGGUAUGGCCAUAAAUAGGAUUCUGGACAGAGCUUUAUUAUUGUAUUAUUCAAUAAACUCAAAUAAUUAGGGCCAAGAAGAAUAAAAAGGUAAGCUAUAAAGUCUAGAUGGUACUCAGACUAAGGAAAUGGAUGGCUGGUUACCUUAUUUUAGCUUUUAACUGUUCUUUAUUUACAUUGUUUUUGUUUAUUAGCCAUCACAGUGACACGCUUAGGCCUAGUUAUGUUGAUAACGUGAAUGCUGGUUCCCCUACAUACCGUGAACUUCAGCUCCCAGCAUGGGUUCAAAUGCUUGAGAGGCAACAGCGACAUCUAGAGGCGGCUAUUCUAUCUACAGCUGCUGUGAUGACAUCAGUCAAAUGCACAGACAUGCCUCUGGUCUGCUUCUCCUAUAUAUAUUUACACCUUUUCAUCUGCUUUAUAGGACAUAUCGAAAAUAGCAAACAGCGUAAUAUUCCUUUCUCGUAUUUGGACAAAAUAGAUGGCUUUACAAAAGCUCACAAUACUUACAGUGAAUAAUAGGCUUUUGUGAAGGAAUACUUCAUCCCCAAAAAAUAAUAAUAACAAUUAAUAAUAAUAAUAAUAAUAAUAAUAAAUAAAAAUAAAGGCAUCUUAGUCUAUGUGCACUCUCUAGAAGGUUCAAAAUCUGCACAUUCCAAAGCCCCCUUCUAACAUCACUUUUCAGAAAAAAAAAAAAAAGAAAAUAGAAAAAAAAAGAAAUUCUCCCCUCGACAAAAAUCCUUGACACACAAGAUCACGAACCAUCGGUCAUGCUUAUCCGCAUCCCAAACAUGUCAACAGUUGGCACACUAUAAGAUAAACACAUUUUACAUUCAUAAAGGAGAUGACUGGGCAGCUACAGAAGAAAUCUGCACUCAAAAAAAAAAAAAAAAAAUUAUAAAUUAUCCCCAUAUCAAACAAUUAACAAUCAACUGAUAAAACGUAAAGUACAUGCAUUUACAACUCUUUAUCUCCACCUUUUGGCCUGUCCACCUUCAAGAAAGAGAAAUCAAACAGCAAAUACAAAUUCUAACUUACAAAAAAAUAGAAGAAAUGGCACUUUUAAUAUAGUCAUAUAUAAUUAUAUAUAUAUAUAU